CCUACGGGAGGCAGCAGUGGGGAAUUUUGGACAAUGGGCGCAAGCCUGAUCCAGCAAUGCCGCGUGCAGGAUGAAGGCCUUCGGGUUGUAAACUGCUUUUGUACGGAACGAAACGGUCUGCCCUAAUACGGUGGGCUAAUGACGGUACCGUAAGAAUAAGCACCGGCUAACUACGUGCCAGCAGCCGCGGUAAUACGUAGGGUGCGAGCGUUAAUCGGAAUUACUGGGCGUAAAGCGUGCGCAGGCGGUUAUAUAAGACAGAUGUGAAAUCCCCGGGCUCAACCUGGGACCUGCAUUUGUGACUGUAUAGCUAGAGUACGGUAGAGGGGGAUGGAAUUCCGCGUGUAGCAGUGAAAUGCGUAGAUAUGCGGAGGAACACCGAUGGCGAAGGCAAUCCCCUGGACCUGUACUGACGCUCAUGCACGAAAGCGUGGGGAGCAAACAGGAUUAGAUACCCUGGUAGUCCACGCCCUAAACGAUGUCAACUGGUUGUUGGGUCUUCACUGACUCAGUAACGAAGCUAACGCGUGAAGUUGACCGCCUGGGGAGUACGGCCGCAAGGUUGAAACUCAAAUGAAAUUGACCGGNNGAGAGNGCGAGGACGACACGAGGGAGGAGG
RNAcentral lists this ribosomal RNA (619 nucleotides) under uncultured bacterium. Its description in RNAcentral is "bacterial SSU rRNA". It matches the Rfam family "Bacterial small subunit ribosomal RNA", at positions 338 to 951 of the family's 1533-position model. The record is from RNAcentral.